Long non-coding RNA from Odocoileus virginianus texanus, 697 nucleotides. RefSeq lists it as uncharacterized. The record is from RefSeq and is a predicted model, not a curated record. Lineage: Eukaryota; Metazoa; Chordata; Mammalia; Artiodactyla; Cervidae.
UGAUAAGUUGCCUCUUGCCCUUGAGGUUCAUCGAACCACUAAUUCAUAAAAUCUUUUAACAUUACGAUUCACAGACCAACGGAUGGAACCUUCUAGCACCUGAGAAUCGUAGACUAAUGGAAUCUUUUUAGAAUCUUUUUAUGAGCAGAGUCUUUCAUAACAGACCCUAUGGGAACUAUAGAAUCCUGGAGGAUAACAGAAUCUUAAAAAUCAUAGACUCUUCCUUUUAAAGGGUUGCAGUGGGGAUAAAAUGAGAUAUUAUGUGACCAACACAUAGACCAGUCCUGGAGUAUUGUAAAUGGUCCCUAAGUGUCAGCUGACCCAGGGAUGGGGUGAGCUGCAUGCCUCUAUUGUGAGGAACCUCAGGUCUGGAAAGAUGACAUCACUUCCUCAUGAGUGCAGUGAGGAGGAGGAGGAUUGAAUUGCCAGGAGGACUGAAAGAGUAAGACUUGUAGUGAGACAUGGCUGCUUGGAAUAAAGACUACAUUUCCCAGCCUCCUUUGCAUCUAGGGGAGCCAUGCGAUUCACGGGGCCAAUAGGAUAAAGCAGUAGUAUGAAGGUGAACUUGUCUCGCCUUGGACCAUGUGAACCAAGACAACAGCCCAGGAAAAACAGAGCAACAAGACAGAAGCAACCAGCCACUGGACUGUUUAUGUAUGAAUUAUUUUAUGAGGGACAAAUAAACUUUCUUGUUCAA